AAAAGUAAAAACAUGUAAUCAAGAUAAAGAAAAAGAAAAGAAACUUGAGGUUUACCUUCUGAGAGAAAGGAAGAAAAACCUUGCUGUGCUGAUUAUGUAAAUGUGCAGUAGAGUUUUUUUUUUUUAUGAGCUCAAAUCUCUGAAGGACCGAGUUUCUGGCCUGACUAACUCGUGAAAUGAAACUUGGCCGAGACAGGGUUGAUGAAAAAAUCCGAUUUUGGUUCGCAUGUAAUUUCAGAUUUUUUUAAACAAAAAAAAAAAAAUUAGUUUGGGUCAGCCCACUUGACUUACGACCCAAAUCUUCAUUCGGAUAGAUUGUGG
RNAcentral lists this long non-coding RNA (321 nucleotides) under Populus trichocarpa (black cottonwood). RNAcentral's name for it is "long non-coding RNA (PTRI_LNC004664)". The record is from RNAcentral. Lineage: Eukaryota; Viridiplantae; Streptophyta; Magnoliopsida; Malpighiales; Salicaceae.